RNAcentral lists this transfer RNA (77 nucleotides) under Acidaminococcaceae bacterium. Its description in RNAcentral is "tRNA-Cys". It matches the Rfam family "tRNA". From Rfam's summary of the family: Transfer RNA (tRNA) molecules are approximately 80 nucleotides in length. Their secondary structure includes four short double-helical elements and three loops (D, anti-codon, and T loops). The record is from RNAcentral. Lineage: Bacteria; Bacillati; Bacillota; Negativicutes; Acidaminococcales; Acidaminococcaceae.
GGCGGCGUAGCCAAGUGUUUAAGGCAAUAGUCCGCAAGACUAUCAUUCCCUGUGUUCAAAUCCGGGCGCCGCCUCCA